This 650-nucleotide long non-coding RNA is filed under the name Sus scrofa (pig). RNAcentral's name for it is "lncRNA (ENSSSCG00070012484.1)". The record is from RNAcentral. Lineage: Eukaryota; Metazoa; Chordata; Mammalia; Artiodactyla; Suidae.
GCUGGUGUGUGUUUGGCGAGAGUCUGAAAUGGCCCCGUGAUGUGGGGAGAACUACUGGAAGUUCCAUCCACCUCGCGGACUCGAUGACCCGGCCAUCCCACAUCCUGUUUGUCCAAGAUAGGGGGGAACUUGUGUUCAACGAGACUUUAUUUUAGGAAAGAAGGACAAGGAAGGAGGUGGACCAGCAGGAGAGACGCGGCAGAGGAACUGCUCCCCUGGACCCCUUGGCCACGAAGAGGCACAGCUUCUACCUCAUGGAGAAUCGAUGCAAAGUGGACUUACGGGGACGUAAGACCGUGGGCCUCAACGCAAAGGACAAAGUUAGUGUCUUUAAUCUGCGUUGGGGGAAUUCUCCAUCCCGCACUGGCUGAGCCCAGAGAAGACUGGAAAACGGAAAAAGUGUCGAAGUUCUUUCUACAUGUGCUGGCAAAGUUUGGAGGAUUGCUUGGUCUUGUGACAGGAUAUUUAUUAUGGGGUUUGGGGACGGGGGUGGCUUAGGAUGAGGUAAGUGCUUGUUUAUGCAGCAUUUAUCUCAUGCACAGUUUAACUAUGAAGACAAAUGUAUUAAUGCGUUUUUAAAAUGAAAAUUGAUGUUAAGACAUCCAUAAAGAAUUAAGCAUCAAAGCUAAAUAAAGACAAGAUGGGUAACA